UUUAUGUGUUUGUUUUAUUUUUUUUAUAAUUUAUAUGCUUCUGCAGUGCAUAACAAGUGCUAUGGCAGACCAACAACUUCUACUAAAAAGGAACUUGAAGAUAGUUUUAUAAAUAGCUUGUAUGUUAGACAGUAUAGAGAGAAAGAAUUCCUAUAUGGGUUCGAAUUGGUAAGAGGCGAGUAAAACCGUGAGGUGAUAUGGGUUCGA
This 207-nucleotide unclassified non-coding RNA is filed under the name Hevea brasiliensis (rubber tree). The record is from RNAcentral. Lineage: Eukaryota; Viridiplantae; Streptophyta; Magnoliopsida; Malpighiales; Euphorbiaceae.